Molecule: microRNA precursor, 73 nt
Filed under: Schistosoma margrebowiei
Lineage: Eukaryota; Metazoa; Platyhelminthes; Trematoda; Strigeidida; Schistosomatidae
Description: mir-3492 microRNA precursor family
Rfam family: mir-3492 microRNA precursor family
Source: Rfam by way of RNAcentral
AGCCUUCUGUAUCCGUGCUGAGAUUUCGUCACACACCAGACCACAAAAACUGAUCAAACUUCCAAGUGAAGCG